UGAACCACAUUCGGUGGGGAUUAGUGGCGAACGGGUGAGUAACACGUGGGCAAUCUGCCCUGCACUCUGGGACAAGCCCUGGAAACGGGGUCUAAUACCGGAUAUUGACCUUCACGGGCAUCUGUGAGGUUCGAAAGCUCCGGCGGUGCAGGAUGAGCCCGCGGCCUAUCAGCUUGUUGGUGAGGUAAUGGCUCACCAAGGCGACGACGGGUAGCCGGCCUGAGAGGGCGACCGGCCACACUGGGACUGAGACACGGCCCAGACUCCUACGGGAGGCAGCAGUGGGGAAUAUUGCACAAUGGGCGAAAGCCUGAUGCAGCGACGCCGCGUGAGGGAUGACGGCCUUCGGGUUGUAAACCUCUUUCAGCAGGGAAGAAGCGAAAGUGACGGUACCUGCAGAAGAAGCGCCGGCUAACUACGUGCCAGCAGCCGCGGUAAUACGUAGGGCGCAAGCGUUGUCCGGAAUUAUUGGGCGUAAAGAGCUCGUAGGCGGCUUGUCACGUCGGUUGUGAAAGCCCGGGGCUUAACCCCGGGUCUGCAGUCGAUACGG
This 550-nucleotide ribosomal RNA is filed under the name Streptomyces olivaceus. RNAcentral describes it as "bacterial SSU rRNA". It matches the Rfam family "Bacterial small subunit ribosomal RNA", at positions 68 to 635 of the family's 1533-position model. Lineage: Bacteria; Bacillati; Actinomycetota; Actinomycetes; Kitasatosporales; Streptomycetaceae. The record is from RNAcentral.